GAUAUGCGAUAAGUAAUGUGAAUUGCAGAAUUCAGUGAAUCAUCGAAUCUUUGAACGCACAUUGCGCCCGCCAGUAUUCUGGCGGGCAUGCCUGUCCGAGCGUCAUUUCAACCAUCAAGCCCCCGGGCUUGUGUUGGGGACCUGCGGCUGCCCGCAGGCCCUGAAAACCAGUGGCGGGCUCGCUGUCACACCGAGCGUAGUAGCAAUCACCUCGCUCAGGGCGUGCUGCGGGUUCCGGCCGUUAAACAGCCUUACAAAACCCAAGGUUGACCUCGGAUCAGGUAGGAAGACCCGCUGAACUUAAGC
This 306-nucleotide unclassified non-coding RNA is filed under the name plant metagenome. RNAcentral's name for it is "partial contains 5.8S ribosomal RNA, internal transcribed spacer 2, and large subunit ribosomal RNA". The stretch from base 1 to 105 matches the Rfam family "5.8S ribosomal RNA", at positions 50 to 154 of the family's 154-position model. The record is from RNAcentral.